UUUUUUUUUUUUUUUUUUUGCCAAAAUUUUUACAGUAGCCUCUGAACUGGUCUCUGUGCUUCCAGGGUUGCAUUUCCAAAAGUACCUUCCAAAUGUCACUUGAAGAUCUUACUGUGUAGAGUCUUUUAAUGACUCCCAAGGGCUUUCAAGAUAGAUUCAAAAUCCCUUAACUUCCUUCAUAAGGUCCUGGCACCAGCAUGGAUCUUUAGAUUCAACAAUUAGCCACUUGCCCAAAUGAAUGCUUCCUUCCAAGUAUAUAGGGUUACAUGUAAAUAGCAGAAUAAGCCAUGUUAUUUCACUAUUCCAUCCUUUUGCACUCUUCCUCUCUAUAUAAUAUAUACGUAUAUGUAUAUGUGGAUCUACACACAAACACACACACAUAUUUCUUUUUCCCCAUGAGAUAUCCACCUCUUCCUUCUCUGUAAGGCUAUCACCUACUCCUCAAACCUCAAAGAAGAAGCUCAAGGGACAUCUCUCUUGGAACCAUCCUUCCCAAACCGCACACUAAAUAGGCAUAUUUUCCGGCAUGAAUUCUCAUGAUUGCUCUUCCUAUGAAUUUUCAUCACAUCCUGUUUUUGCAUUUGAAACAGUGUGCACUUACCACAAUGUUGGCUUACUCCUCUGUUUGUAAAAACAAAACUAUGAGCGACUUGAGUUCAGAGCCCAUGUCUCAGUCAUUAUAUCCCCGGUACCUUUCCCUGUGGUCUGGUAACAAUGCCUGAUGAAUAGAAUUGAAAUCAAAAGCUAUAUUGCUUUUGAUUAUACAAUAUACAAUAUCCACUUAUAUCCUAUUAAUAGCCCUACUGCUCUCUGUGGCUCUUCUCUAGUUGCAAGAGUCUCCCUCCCCCUUCAGUGAUAACAGAGUCAGGCAGUACAUGCAGGUGAAUUAACACUCACUGUAGCAGUCCUCGACCAAUGGCCAAAAAGAGGUUAUAUAAAUACAUCCCUCAUAUAGGAUAACUCAGAAGUGUGCCCUACACUGACUCCUACACUCUCCCAGUGAGAUGAAGCUUCAGUCAUCCCCAGUGGUGAAUGGCUCCGAUGGCUCCGUAACAUUGGCUGACUUUCCAUCCCUAACUUCCCCAUUCUCCAAACUUUAUUUUCAGGGGUUGUAUUGCAAAUAAAUGACUUAUACCAGAAUCCUACCUUCAGAAUCUGUUUCUGGUUGAACUCAACUAAGACAGUAUCCAAUACUAUGUUUUUAAGUUUAGAAACCAUUAUAUAAGUCAGUGAAGUAGGAAUUCAUAUCAUCCUUAUUACACAGAUGAGGAAGCUGAGGAACAGAGAGGUUAAAGUUCGGUAAAUUUAGAGCAUGUCAUUGAAGGGACAAUCUAUCACAAAUGGGUCUGCACAUUUUGGUUUUGGUUUGUGCGUGUGGGUGUGCUUUUUCCCCACCAACUUUCUUCUUCUGAUCUCUUUAGCAUCGUCAAUGAAAAUGCUCACAUACCAGUGGCUGAUGGUGCCCCUGAUUCAAAAGGCAGCCCUCUGGAGAAGGAUUAUAGCCCAGCACCUAAAAUAGCGGAGCCUGACAACUCAGUAGAGUGGUAAACUAAACCUCUCCCUAAAAUAACACAGAGAUCACCCAAGGGAGUCACAGGAACAGGGUUGCCAUUGUGAUUACCCAGGAUAGGAGGGAUUAAUUCACAGGUAUUAGAAAGCAGCCCAA
This 1666-nucleotide long non-coding RNA is filed under the name Macaca fascicularis (crab-eating macaque). Its description in RNAcentral is "lncRNA (ENSMFAG00000050678.1)". Lineage: Eukaryota; Metazoa; Chordata; Mammalia; Primates; Cercopithecidae. The record is from RNAcentral.